Molecule: long non-coding RNA, 2786 nt
Organism: Musa acuminata AAA Group (dessert banana)
Lineage: Eukaryota; Viridiplantae; Streptophyta; Magnoliopsida; Zingiberales; Musaceae
Exons: 3
Source: RefSeq, a predicted model, not a curated record
UGUAAUAAGAAAUAAAGAACAUGCGAGGGUGUGAUUGCUAAAUAAACAACCGCUAUAUAAAGGGCAGCGCGCUCUAUCCAACCGUCUCAAUUCGAGGGUUCGAGACGACAUGACACACCAGCGGACGAGACGUAGAUCCCCACCGGUGAUCGCAUUGGUGGUGGCGGCCUCGGAGAUGAAUCGGGGGUCACCAUUCCCGCUCCGUGCAAGAUUUCUGAGAGAGCCGCGGCAGAAGACUCGCAGAAGGAGGACGAGGUGGCAGGGACAUGUUACCUUCUGCCGCCACCGCACCGGCCAAGUUGAAGGACCAUCGAUCCGAUCGGCAUCGUGACCGCGUCGUCCGUUGGUCCCGCCGUAGCAGCUUGAGCCCUGAACAGAAACAGGCCUCGGCCGGAGCACGUCCAUCAAGCACAGAGACUCCGCCCCCUGCCGCUCAGAUUCCGGUAAGCAGCUUCACAAUGAAUCCCCAUCUACCAUCCCAUGGCCAAGACAUCAUACUGAUGCUUAGUGAGUCACAUUUAUCACUCUGGCAAGGUGGUUUUGAAGACACAACACUCGGGUCUUCAAUCUUCUUCAUAAAGCCCUUUGUCUUCUUAUGGGCUGGAAUUGGUUCGUGUCUCUUGACAAUUCAAGGGCUGCUGAAGCUAAGGCUCUGAAUGAAGAUCGACUUUGGCCUCUUUUUUAAAUUGUCCAUAACAGUUGCAUCGAGAAAAAUGCCCUGUUUAGUGAAGGCAUACAAGAAAUGCUUAAAGAUUAGUCCGUAAAUCACCUUUGGCUUCAAUUGUUUUACCAAAGCAGACUGAACUUCCAUUACUUAUUUGCUGAUAUUAGCUCUACAGUUGUGCAUGGGUCGUCUUCUUCCUGCAAUUGUUUUUGGUUAGUCUAUGCCUGGAAUUGUGUGAAAAUGAUCUGUUAUAAUGUCAUCACAUUUUGUUUUUGCCAAUCGAUACGGAAAGCUAGAUGCAUUAUUGCAGUUUAUCACUAGGGUUAGGUAAUUGCCAUGAGAAAGAAAAGCAGACAUGGGAACAUAUGCUAUAGAUUAAUACCUGGAGACCUGAGUAACUGGCAUAGAUCAAGUCCCUGGAAUUUUGGCAAGUUUAUGGCUAGUUUUGUUGUAUUAUCCAUAUGCCAACAUCUUCAUUUUUUUAAUCUUACACUCUUGUUGAUCUGAAAGUUAUGGUUUAUCGUGACAGGUUCUUUUACAGUAUGUUAGUAAUGCAUUAGCUUUGUUUCAUUUUGUUACAUAAGCUUGUAACUGAGUUGCUUUGUAUAUGAAUCUCAGCAGAAUAGUUUCAAUCUUGCAAAAUGUGGAUCUGGCUUUUCUUUGUUAUGAACAUUGAAGUAUAGCAGUCACAUAAUCUUACAUUAUGCUGGUUUUUUGCAUGUGGAUUAUUACCUGAGGAAUUCCUUUCCAGCGAAAAAACUUGUGAAGAAUUGGUGUCAUCAGGACUCUAGCUAGGCAGCCACACAGCUUUGGAUUCCAACAUUGAGAAAGCUCUUGGAACUUCCCUAGAAUGAGUAGCCCUUGUUCAUGAUUCCUUUGCAAUUCAUUUAGUCUUUGUCCCGAUUGUAUGGGUAAAGUGCUUUUUUUCUCUUUUAACAGUAGAAUCUGAGAACGAUCCAUACUUGAAAUAGAAGGUCAAGCCUGAAAAGUCUGUACGGUAAGAUGUUAAAUCUUUUUCCCGAUUGUAUGGGUAAAGUGCUUUUUUUAUCUUUCUUUUUUCUCACAUGGAUUUUCGUCUCUUCAUAAAAGUGUAUCAGUAGAAUCUGAGAAGUAUCCAUCCGUAAUUGAAAGAGAUGGUGAAGCCUGAUAAAUCGGUACAGUAAGAUGUUAAGAGUCAUGUUCUGUGUGGCUUCUUAGGUUGUGCAUAUCUCUUCCCACGCUAUUUUGCAGAUUGGAGAAGGAUUGCAACCGUAUCUUCCAUACACGGUGUUGAACUUAUGUACCGUUGUUGGUGAGUCAGCUUGGCCUGGUUCAUGGGUUGACGUCGGGAGCUUGCAAUCGAUCAUCAGGAUCGAUCUAGUCCGCAAGUCGGGGUGCCGAUGCUAUCUGAGAGAGGGUGCUUCUCGAUCGGGAUGCUGAUGUCGUCUUCGGGGAGUACGUCUCUAGAUCGGGGUGGACGGACAUCCGAAGGCGGCCUCACUCCUGCACACAAGGCCCUCGUCGGGUGGUUCCCGACUUUGGCCCAUCGAUGAUGAAGUUAGCGAUCAUUCUUCCUUUCUCUCUUUUUUGCCUCCCAUUGGUCAUAUACCGGUCAGGAGUUUUUAUACUAUUGUAUAAGGGUCGGUCGUACGCGGGGUUGGCGCGGUAACCGAUCCCCAAGGGGUGAGGGUUUGUGCGGCCAUCAUUCCGGAAUGCAGGGAACAGUGUCAUAUGGCGUCGUCCCGAGCUUUCUAGGACGGGAUGUGUCGAGGAGUGCCUUGGUACGGAUCUUGUUUGGUGCGUGAAAGUACUCCUCGAGCUGACUUGGUGAGGGCGUGGUGCGCGUCGAUUGCGACGUGGCUGGAACCCAAAAUAUGCCUCAUCACAUGGUGUUCGACAAUCCAUCACGUUUUCGUUUUUUUCUCAACGCUGGUGGUGAUGCCUGCAGUUUAAAGUCACAGUAAUUUUUUAUUGUUUUCUGUGGUUUAUGAUUGCAUUAUCUUUGUAUGGUUUUCGUUGAAAUGAUCCUCCAGCUGUUUGAUUGUUUCCAACCCUGCAUCGGUCAUGGGAUAAAGAUGUAUCGUAUUGAUCUGAAGUCAGGUCGCUAGUUAUUUAAUUCAGAUGAUCAUACCCGUUUCGUAUG